RNAcentral lists this unclassified non-coding RNA (186 nucleotides) under Paraglomerales sp. Its description in RNAcentral is "partial contains 5.8S ribosomal RNA and internal transcribed spacer 2". The stretch from base 1 to 65 matches the Rfam family "5.8S ribosomal RNA", at positions 84 to 154 of the family's 154-position model. Lineage: Eukaryota; Fungi; Glomeromycota; Glomeromycetes; Paraglomerales. The record is from RNAcentral.
GUGAAUCAUCAAAUUUUUGAACGCAAAUUGCGCCUUUUUCGGAAGGCAUGUCUGUUUGAGGGCACCAUUUAACAAAUAAUUUGCAUUUGUUUUUCCCCGGUUGAUGAGCUUUCCAAAAUUUUGUAUUUUUAUUUUUGGGGGCGCUUAUAAAAAAGCGCGAUUCUUUUUUUCAAUUGUGGGUUAUUA